RNAcentral lists this ribosomal RNA (110 nucleotides) under Lactobacillus sp. S2-2. Its description in RNAcentral is "partial 16S ribosomal RNA". It matches the Rfam family "Bacterial small subunit ribosomal RNA", at positions 1 to 107 of the family's 1533-position model. Lineage: Bacteria; Bacillati; Bacillota; Bacilli; Lactobacillales; Lactobacillaceae. The record is from RNAcentral.
UUUAAAAUGAGAGUUUGAUCCUGGCUCAGGACGAACGCUGGCGGCGUGCCUAAUACAUGCAAGUCGAGCGAGCUUCCGUUAAUGAUUUGAGAUGCUUGCAUCAAAAUGAU